GAGGGCAUAGCUCAGUAGUAAAGCACAUGCUUAGCAUGCACAAGGUCCUGGGUUCAAUCCCCAGUACCUCA
Molecule: transfer RNA, 71 nt
Filed under: Camelus bactrianus (Bactrian camel)
Lineage: Eukaryota; Metazoa; Chordata; Mammalia; Artiodactyla; Camelidae
Also listed under: 2 other names
Rfam family: tRNA
About the family: Transfer RNA (tRNA) molecules are approximately 80 nucleotides in length.
Source: Rfam by way of RNAcentral